GUGUCAGCCGCCGCGGUAAUACAGAGGCCUCGAGCGUUAGGCGGAAUCACUGGGCUUAAAGCGCGUGUAGGCGGACUCUUAAGUGUCUUGUGAAAUCCCACGGCUCAACCGUGGAACUGCUGGGCAUACUGGGAGUCUUGGGCCACUCAGGGGCGACCGGAACAAGCGGUGGAGCGGUGAAAUGCGUAGAUAUCGCUUGGAACGCCAAAGGUGAAGACAGGUCGCUGGGGGUGUGCCGACGCUGAGACGCGAAAGCCAGGGGAGCAAACGGGAUUAGAUACCCCAGUAGUCC
This 292-nucleotide ribosomal RNA is filed under the name uncultured bacterium. Its description in RNAcentral is "partial 16S ribosomal RNA". It matches the Rfam family "Bacterial small subunit ribosomal RNA", at positions 505 to 796 of the family's 1533-position model. The record is from RNAcentral.